RNAcentral lists this long non-coding RNA (1775 nucleotides) under Cyanistes caeruleus (blue tit). RNAcentral describes it as "lncRNA (ENSCCEG00000006307.1)". The record is from RNAcentral. Lineage: Eukaryota; Metazoa; Chordata; Aves; Passeriformes; Paridae.
AUGCUCUUGCUGCUCUCCCAGGGCACUGACUCCAUGCCAUGGUACCUGCCACAGUGCCACUGUCACCUUCCCUGUGUCACCUUCCCCAUGGUCACCCUCCCUGGGGCAGGCACAGGCACGAGAAGUGAUGAUAACGAUGAUUCAGGGCUGGGCCAUGAGGAGCUUUGGUUCUGUUCCUCAGGUAAGCGAAGCAAACCCUUGGGAUUCCAGAGCUGUCCAGGCAGCUCUGCAGAGCCCAUGGAGGGGACAGCUUUGGGUCACUGUCAUUCACUGCUGUGCAAAGCCCACCAACCUUUCUGGUCCCCCCAGGCCUUCAGAGCACUCUCCUGGGUCAGGACAUGCUGCAGGUCUCUGCUGCUCUCCCGCUCGUCACCCCAGCAGGACCCUCCUGUCUCCUGUGCCUGCUCUGCUCCCCCAGACCUGCUCCCCUUCCAGCAGCUCACCCCAGCUCCCAGGACAGGCUGCAGGAUGGUUUCCUACAUGCCUGCUGCUCCUCCCUCUGCUGCUGUCUUGCCUGAGGUAGAGGUGAGCUGGGGUAGUGUAAUGCUGGUUGUUUUUGGUAGAUGGGAGAGGGGAUGUCACUUGGGCCUGCUAAAAGUGUCCCCUCCAUCUCCACCUGUGGUGGAGACCCCAGGUCCUUCUUCCCCAGAGCCACAGGCCUCCUUUGCACUCCCCAGCUCUGGCCAGCUUUACCCCUGUGAACUGCUGCUUGCUCAGCUUCCAUCACACAGAGCUUUGCAUGGACAGAGGGAACAUGGAAUCCAGAGAUUCCUGUAUCCCAGAGAUUCCUGUAUCCCCCAGAGAUUCCUGUAUCCCAGAGAUUCCUGUAUCCCAGAGAUUCCUGUAUCCCAGGUACAGCCUGACUGGAUCAUCCCAGAGCACGUGGGGCUGGAACAGCCCUGCACUGCAGCCCCACUGCCUCACCUGGGGGCAGGUUUCUCACUGUGCUGCGUGUGACAGGCCUGAAUCAUCACCUGUCCUUGGGAACAGCUAUGCCAGGAAUAUGUAUUUAUGUACAUAAAAGCAUAAAUGCCGGUGCCUGUGUCCUGGUUUUGGCUGGGAUAGAGUUAAUUUUCUUCCCAGUAGCUGGUCCAGUGCUGUGUUUUGGAUUUAGCGUGGGAAUAAUGUUGGUAACAGCCCAUGUUGUAGUUGUGGCUGAGUUGUGCUUACUCCCAAGUGAAGGACAUUUCUCUGCCAGGGAGCAGAGGCACAAGGAGUGGGGAGCAUGGCCAGCAGAGCUGAUCUGGACGGGCCAGAGGGAUAUUCUGUUCCACAGAGCAUCCUGCCAGAACAGAAACGGGGCUGGGAGCUGUCUGCCACUGCUGUGCGACGAGCUGGGUCAGGGGUGAUGAACAACCGUGUUGGGCAGCUCUGGCAGGGAGGAAUUCCUUCCCAAUAUCCGAGAGCCCUCUCGGGCCGCAGGAAAUGCUGUGUUGGCUUUGGGUUAAUCCUCCGGUACAUCUGCAAGGGCAAGAAAUGACUUUGUGUCGAGGCAGAGCCUUGGGCCCUGGGAGGACGCGGAGCCUGGGCGCUGCAGGCCAGAGACGUGUCCUGAGUGCCCCGAUCCCCCCAGCCCCGGCACCGAGCCCAUCCAGGCCGUGGCUGCCAGCCCUGGGCCGGAGCCUUGUCCAUCCGUCCAUGGCGGCUCCAGGAAGGCAGCGGGACGCGGCAGAGGCGCAGCCCGGCGUGUUCUCCGUGUCAGCCGGCAAAGCCGGGGCGGGAGCGACCACAUCCCGCUGCUUUCUGUGUUCUGGUGCCGAGGGGAGGCCGUGGGA